Molecule: long non-coding RNA, 219 nt
Organism: Diprion similis
Lineage: Eukaryota; Metazoa; Arthropoda; Insecta; Hymenoptera; Diprionidae
Exons: 3
Source: RefSeq, a predicted model, not a curated record
UACACUCUCCCGUCCUCUCUGUCGCUCUUCCCAUCUCGGGAAGAUCCCGCAAUAGGCGAAAAAUAUAUCUAUGCCUAUUUGUUAUAUUGUGAUCUAGACUUACAUCGAAGUAUAUAUUCAGUACUUUUCUUUCUAGAUAUCCUUUCGGACGUUUUCUGAGUUUAGACUAGGUGAACCAUCGCACUGCAGGACCACAUAUUUCGACAAUCAAACGAUACA